UACACUUCUUCCAAGAGGUCCUUGUUGAUUCAGCCCAGGUUGCUGGCAAGGAUGACCGGAUGCAUUCCUGUUACCUGCAGUGGCUGUCUUGGUGGUGGGCUAUGCAGACUGUGUCAGCAAGAGAGCAGCAAGGGAUGGCAACAGAAAAAAGUGGUCUUAGUCUGCCACGGAAUGGGAUCCAUUUGCUGCCAGGAGGAUACCUGAUACAUAGUCUGAUUACCAGGAGAUACAAGCGCCUGAUUCUUCACAGCUUGGAAGUGGAUACAGCUAUUUGCAUAGAUUAUUCCUGGUCCAGCACAGGUCCCUGCCUGAAUGCAGAAUGAGAGUCUUUCCURCCAUGGAAAGUUCCUCUGUGUUUGCCCAGGAAAGAUGCAGGCACAGAGCAUCCUGGAAGAUGGUGGCCGAAAACUUCCAGCAUUCAAACUUCACCUACCAAGACCACUAAAAUGAGAUCGACUUAAAAAUAAUACGAUUUUAAAAAGGAAUAAUUAGUGGUUAUUUAUAUUUGCCUUAUGAUUUCUAAGCUUUUUGUGUUUUAUGUUUCAAGUUUUUCCAUACAAUCCUGAGGGCCGAGCUAGAAAGUUCCUUACUUUAAAUUAACAUUGAAAUUUUCAUGUAAUUAACUGUUUCCUGGAGAUGACUAACUAUCAGAAGACUUGGAAUAAGCUCUCAAGAGUUGAUCACACUGUCAUACCUAUGUGCAAGUGCCAUUCAUUGCUUAGGGAUUCACUUAGUGAUGGAAUUUUAGGAGCAUGGAAAGAUAUUCCUUAGAAGUCAAAUUCAGUCAAAAGGAAUUCAAAUAGGAGAGAGGAAUAGUGGUAACAACAUAACAUAAAGUCAGAGAGCUGCCAGCAAUGCUGAGGACAAUUAAUUCAUAGUGUGAAUUAAUUUGCUGUUUUGACUGUGUCAAUAAUUACCUGCAACAACCUCUGAACUACAUUUUCCUGACUGAGAUCUUCCUAAUUUGAUCUUCUAGCAUGGUGGGGCCACUGCAGAAGGGAGUCUUGCAUGUUUUAAAAUGAUUUAAGGAUGCGCACCCUGAAAAAGUGUUUCCUUUAAUGGCU
Molecule: long non-coding RNA, 1064 nt
Filed under: Apteryx rowi (Okarito brown kiwi)
Lineage: Eukaryota; Metazoa; Chordata; Aves; Apterygiformes; Apterygidae
Description: lncRNA (ENSARWG00000010357.1)
Source: RNAcentral